This 258-nucleotide ribosomal RNA is filed under the name uncultured bacterium. Its description in RNAcentral is "partial 16S ribosomal RNA". It matches the Rfam family "Bacterial small subunit ribosomal RNA", at positions 99 to 353 of the family's 1533-position model. The record is from RNAcentral.
CGAACGGGUGAGUAACGCGUGAGGAACCUGCCUCAAAGAGGGGGACAACAGUUGGAAACGACUGCUAAUACCGCAUAAGCCCACAGCUCGGCAUCGAGCAGAGGGAAAAGGAGCAAUCCGCUUUGAGAUGGCCUCGCGUCCGAUUAGCUAGUUGGUGAGGUAAUGGCCCACCAAGGCGACGAUCGGUAGCCGGACUGAGAGGUUGAACGGCCACAUUGGGACUGAGACACGGCCCAGACUCCUACGGGAGGCAGCAUG